Long non-coding RNA from Rhineura floridana, 1156 nucleotides. RefSeq lists it as uncharacterized. The record is from RefSeq and is a predicted model, not a curated record. The transcript is spliced from 3 exons. Lineage: Eukaryota; Metazoa; Chordata; Lepidosauria; Squamata; Rhineuridae.
AUCCCCACUCAGCCACAAAGCUCACCGUAUGAUUUUGGACUAGUCAUUCUUUUUCAGCCUAACCUACUUCACAAGAGGAUACAAUGGAGGGUAGAGAAGCAUGUACAUUUCCUGGGCUCUUCGGAGAAAAGCAUCACAUAAGACCAGCUUUCCUGGUUGUGAAGAAAGAACAUUGACCACAGACAGUUCCACAGAUGAGGUAUCGCAAGGAAGCAAAUUCUGGCUGCCGGUAUCUGUGUGAAAUGAAGAAUACCAGUUAUUACUUAUCCAGAUACACCCAAAAAAUCUACACAAUGUUUCAUGUUGAGAACAUAUGAUUUAUGCAUUUAUCCCUCUAAGUCUGCUCUUAAAAAUGUAUUAGGCUAAAGGGAGGUGGGUGAAUUCCAAGUGACAUAAUACUUGGGCAUCCAAAACUUAAUUGGUUAUCUUAGCUGAAAGACCCAACCAUGGUUUCCACAGUAUGUACGUUACUUUGGUUAAUUCAGCAUGUCAGUGCAAAACACUACUGGCACAUAAAUGUCGAUAGCUUUUUUAUUAUUGUUUGAUUUAUAUCCUCCCCUUCCCCCCAACAGGAGCCCAGGGUGGCAAACAAAAGCACUAAAAACAUUAAAACAUUAUAAAAACAAACUUUAAAAAACAUUAAAACAAAACAUCUUCAAAAACGUUACUUAAAAAAAGCUAUGAAAACAUCUUCCAAGAUUAAAAACAUUUAAAAAAAGAAAGUAAGAACAUUAAAAAGCAAUUCAGUGGCUUGAGCAGUUUGUUAAGGAAAAGUCACCUGAUUUCAUUCUGUUGUCUCCACUAUCUUUGGCUGACAAGAUUUAUAGAGCAAGUGUAUAUGUAUAAAAUUGCAGCCUCAGGUUGAACACACUGAGACUCAUUUCAGAGGGAAUAGAUAUAGGAUUGUACAGUCAGUCAGCUUCAUAUCUGCUAGGUUAGCAGUCUUCAAAUUGUGCCAUUUUACUGGUGUUUUCUUCUGUCUUUGGCUCAUUUACCUCCAAUAAGGUUCUCAGUGCCAAUUCUGCUCAGCAGAGGCUGCCAACAUGAUGCCCAGAGGCUUUCCUACCCCUGCUGAAAUUAGGCUUGAAAAAAAGCAUUUUAUUUUUAACAAAAUGUUUAUUGCUUUCAAAAUUAGUUUACAAUGUGAGGGAAAAGA